CUUGUGAUGUAAAUUACACCCUAUAAGUAUAAUUCCCUUACCUUGAAGUUGUCUUCAAGAAUGAACUGGAAACUGCUAUACAAAUUUUAGUGCCAGGAGAUGUCAGGAAUUUAAAUGCCAUACGGGGUUGUGAUUUGUUAAACAUAUGGAAUGCACAUAUCCUUUCUCUAAUGUAAGAAGUUGCACAAAUACGUUUGAUAAUAAUUGUAAGAAGAUACUUACCAAAAGGCAUUGUUUGAAGUGGUUUUUUUAUUAGCUUUCUUGUUUGAUAAUGUACUUACCGAGGACAUGAUCUUAGAUAGAAGAGUGUGGAGGACGCGACCUAGGGUAGAAACAUAGUACGUAGCGGUGCGUUAUCUUGUUGUUCGUCAUAUUAGUAGUCGUAGUAUUGCUACUGUAGUUUCUUGUCCUUCGAUUUUUGUUACUAUCUACUAUUUCUUGUUUCUUGUACCUCAAUUAUGGUAUUAUUUUGUUGUAGCUUACAUACGGUUUAUAGUUGCUAUUAUUGGCAGUGUUUGUUGUGUCUUGUACUUCUGUUACUUCCUUUUUCUAUACUACUUUGGACUAUUUUCUAGAGCCCAGGGUCUACCGAAAACAGUCUCUCAAACUCAAAGGUAGAGGUAAGACUUUCAUACACUCUACCCUCUCCGACACCAUUAGAAUGUUGUCGUUGUUAUUGUAUUGUCGAUUUUGAUAAACUGUCUGGUCAGAAUAUAAGAAAUUGUCGAAUGUUCUUAGAAAUAUCCAGUGAUACUGGAGUACUAAAUGAUUUUUUACCAAAAUAAUUGUUCACCCCAAGGUACUUUAUGUAUUCCAGUUCCUGGAGGAAAUAGAAAGUUGAGCAUGCAAUAACAUCUAUACCUCAAUAGAAGCAAGUUAGGAUUGGCUAUGUGAAUCCUUAAUAUCCAUAUUACUAUUCAAUUGAAAAUUAAUGCCGAGGGAAAAAGAGGUCAACUUUUAUCAUCACUAACCAUAAGUUGGUUCCUCCUCCUUGAUAGGAAUAAAUCAUAAAUUCUUGAGAGUUAACUCGUUGUCCUUUAAUGAUUAAGUGUUGUUUUUAUUUUUACCAUUGUGUGGUUCUAUUAUAUGCUAUAUUUUUCAUAUGUACGGAAAUAAUUCUACACGAUAUUAGCACCAUGCACCAGGGACUAUGCUUGAAGUCCUAGAUUAAGAAAGGGUGGCAUUUUCUGCACCACUAAUUGGUGUUGGCAGUUUCCAAUUCAUCUUUUCAAGUUUAUAGUGUUGACAGUUAUUGAUACACAGUGUUGAUGGGUGUUGUACUAUGCCGCUAUAUGUAAUAUUUGUCAAUCGACCUUUGCCAAUUUACAUAUAACAUUGUAAUUAAAUCCAUAAGGAUAAAAUGCUAGAACAUCCAACCAUAUAUUUUCUAAUGCAGGUUGCGCAUCGUACGUUGGAUGGCUUGGUGAAUGAAAGAACGCAUUAUGCCCCUAAUGAUUAUUACUUCAUUCUAGUGUAUGAUAAGGGUUCUUUCUUGAUCAAAGUCAAUGGACUGGAGGGGUAAACGUGGGAUCCUAAACAAGUUCACUCUAUCUACACGAAUUAUGGGAAAUGUUGGUGGGAGAGAUGCUCUCUAAAAGAAGGAGGUCCAUCAAAUGUGAAUGUUGAGCUAUUUUCUACAACAGGUGAUGUUGUUUCCUCUACAUUAUCAACACCCAGAGGAACAUAAUACUUCAAAAACACUAUACCCGGUAUGUUACCCUAAAAGUAGUUUGGUUGUAUUUUAUAGUGUAUAUAUUUAGAUGGAAAAUACAAUGAUCUAUAUACUUAGAUGGAACAACUAUAUGCUUCUGAUGCUGCUUUUUUAGAUAGGUAACAUUAUGAUUCUUAGUUUAUGAAAUAGAUAGUUUCCGUGUGGACUUAACAUGCAAUUAUUAUGUUAUAUAGCUCAAUGUUCCAAUUUAUCUUCAUAACAGGGAAGUACAAAUUGCGUGCAUCAUGUCUUGACUUGAAUGUUCAAGUUAGAGGAUCUGUCGAGGUGCAUUUUGAGUCCCUCGUGUUCUUUUAAUUGGUGUUUCUUCUUUCCAUGUAAUGACAUUGACUUCGUUUACCAUAUCUACUUCCUAAAUUAUUGUACACCAACUUGGAAUAAGUAUCACUGAUUGCAUAAUUAUUUGAAUCUACCAUGUGGGUUCUCAAUUGAGUUGGGUUUCGAAAAUAGAGAAGUGGAUUUCUUCUUCUUUGUACCCGGUUAUGAUAUUCGUGGCUCUAUGGUUGCUAAGGUGAGUUUCUUUAGUAAUCACUUGAUCUCUAUUUUUGUUUUAUGUUUUAUAUUAAAGUUUGUUGUUGUGACUUGUCAGAGUUUCCAUGUAUUUCUUCUAAAAAAUUGAUAGGUCAAGGAUAACCUUUUACUCGGCACAAUCUAUUUUUCAUAGUCAUUUAACUAUGAACUAUAUUUACACAGAAUUCAGGACAAGACCAUUGCAAAAACCGACUAGAGGUAUUUGGAAUUAUUAUGAUCGAAUGAAUUUGUACCUGCUUAUGUUUUCUUUCACAUAGUUAAAGUGAUGAAAAUGCGUGAAGGGGGCGGAGAUCAUAAUAGACAAGGUUGUUUCUUUCUCAAGUGAGCUAUGAGAGGUGAAAUCCCAACUUCUUUAAGAGACAAUUUUGUAUGGCUACCUUGGUAUCAUAAUGCAAAAAUUAGUAUAAAGUGGUCGUAUUCUAUUCAAGCAAGUUAUGUUGAUCGUAGGUGUGGGUGUUCGGUUUUUAAAUUUUCCAUCUGUUUUUUCUGUUUUCAGUAAUGGAAAAGGGUGCACCGAAGGUUUUUUUUUCAAGUUUGGUUAAGUCUUGAAUUGAAAAGUAAAGGAAAUGAAAAAAUACUUUCUUGCAACAGUUCAAUUUUAGCAUCAGAAGGAAUUUUUACUUACACAUACAAAUGCAGUAGGAAAACAUAUUAAAAGAUAGUUAAUUUUACGUUAGAUAGAUAUUUUCCAGCUUGUUCAUUAAUACAUGGAACUUAGAACUUAAAAUAAACUAAAUUUUUCUCAGAUUUAUACCGCUCAUUAUCUUCUUGCUAAUACAUAGAUAAAAUAAUUCUAGAAAGUUGAAGUAGCCUUAGUUUCCUAGUAGUCUAACUAAUCUUAGGAAUACCGGAAACUUGAAAACCUAAUAAUCUUGUGGAAUAAGUUCUGUAAAUCUAAGAUAAACUUUGCUUUCUGAAGAUGACUAUUCAGUUAACUGAUUAAGAUGGAUACAAGGUUCUUUCAUGUCAAGUAAAAAAGGUAAUUACGGCUUUCUUGAUAUGUUGGUUUCCUUUUAUGGUGCUUCAUCAAUGUGGCAUACCUAUACUCAAUGUAAGGGCAAAUUGAUAUAGGACUUUCUUUUCUUUUGGAUGUUACUUUUAUUUUUUUAAUGUUGUCUUCUUUUAUCUAAUAGUGUUACUACGGUGACCAUUCUCUUACUCAAAUAAAAGUGGAAAAACUAUUAAGAAAAGACAACAAACAUAUAUCUGUUUUGGGAUCGUACUAGUGACAUAAAUUAGCUAACAAUUGACCUAUUUUUAUCCCUAUUACCUUUUUGUGGUAUCUAGCAAUUAUGAAAUUAACACCUCAAUCCCACGGAUCAAAAUAUGAUUAGGCAACUCUCGAAUGUAGCUUGUCUUGUUCCAAUUAGUCGUAUGUCGAGAUUCUUUUUAUGUUUUCUAAUGUUAAACUGUAUUGCAGGCAAAUCCCAUAUUGGGAGUUCAUAUCUAUUUAUACUCAGAUGAUUUCACAAAUGUUGAUUGCCCUAAGGGCUCUAAAAAUCUGCCUGGUGAUCUAGGAUUGGGAUAAGUACUUUGCCACAGUGUGGCAGAUGCUAAUGGAAUCUUCUCAUUGAUAUCCAUUCCUUGUGGAGUUACUUGAUUUAGGUGAAACAGUAGGAACUGAAAGUGGAGGACUUGAUUAUUUUUUUGCCCUAUGAUGGAAGCUGGACAUUUGAACUGAAAGUUGAGGACUUAAACAGUAGAAACAGGAGUUACUUGAUUAUUUUUUUGCAAUGUAUUAAAAUGUUAUGGAAAAUUUGACAUCAUACUCUAGCGCGAUCGGGAUGGUAACUAUGGUUUUUGCGAAACAAAUAUUGAAACUAAUAUCAUGUGAUGUUAACUAAGUUUUCUGAUCUAUAAUUAUAUCAUGUUUUUGUA
Molecule: long non-coding RNA, 4138 nt
Organism: Capsicum annuum
Lineage: Eukaryota; Viridiplantae; Streptophyta; Magnoliopsida; Solanales; Solanaceae
Exons: 4
Source: RefSeq, a predicted model, not a curated record